Molecule: ribosomal RNA, 447 nt
Filed under: Bacteroidetes bacterium SCGC AAA027-J16
Lineage: Bacteria; Pseudomonadati; Bacteroidota
Description: bacterial SSU rRNA
Rfam family: Bacterial small subunit ribosomal RNA
Source: RNAcentral
GUAAGGAAUAUUGGUCAAUGGACGCAAGUCUGAACCAGCUAUGCCGCGUGAAGGAUUAAGGUCCUCUGGAUUGUAAACUUCUUUUAUCUGGGACGAAAAAAGGUCUUUCUAGAUCACUUGACGGUACCAGAUGAAUAAGCACCGGCUAACUCCGUGCCAGCAGCCGCGGUAAUACGGAGGGUGCAAGCGUUAUCCGGAUUCACUGGGUUUAAAGGGUGCGUAGGCGGGCAGGUAAGUCAGUGGUGAAAUCCUGGAGCUCAACUCCAGAACUGCCAUUGAUACUAUCUGUCUUGAAUAUUGUGGAGGUAAGCGGAAUAUGUCAUGUAGCGGUGAAAUGCUUAGAUAUGACAUAGAACACCCAUUGCGAAGGCAGCUUACUACGCAUAUAUUGACGCUGAGGCACGAAAGCGUGGGGAUCAAACAGGAUUAGAUACCCCGGUAGUCCGG